RNAcentral lists this transfer RNA (72 nucleotides) under Camelus bactrianus (Bactrian camel). It matches the Rfam family "tRNA". Rfam says of the family: Transfer RNA (tRNA) molecules are approximately 80 nucleotides in length. Their secondary structure includes four short double-helical elements and three loops (D, anti-codon, and T loops). The record is from Rfam by way of RNAcentral. Lineage: Eukaryota; Metazoa; Chordata; Mammalia; Artiodactyla; Camelidae. RNAcentral also lists the same sequence under 2 other names.
GAGGGUAUAGCUCAGUGGUGGAGUGCAUGCCUAGCAUGCACAAGUUCCUGGGUUCAAACCCCAGUACCUCCA